This 236-nucleotide ribosomal RNA is filed under the name uncultured bacterium. Its description in RNAcentral is "partial 16S ribosomal RNA". It matches the Rfam family "Bacterial small subunit ribosomal RNA", at positions 1004 to 1241 of the family's 1533-position model. The record is from RNAcentral.
AAAUAGGGACUUCCCGCAAGGGACUGGAGUCGAGGUGCUGCAUGGCUGUCGUCAGCUCGUGUCGUGAGAUGUUGGGUUAAGUCCCGCAACGAGCGCAACCCUUGUCCUGUGUUGCCACCCCGCAAGGGAGCACUCUCAGGAGACCGCCAGCGAUAAGCUGGAGGAAGGUGGGGAUGACGUCAAGUCCUCAUGGCCUUUAUGUCCAGGGCUACACACGUGCUACAAUGGACGGUACA